This 1466-nucleotide ribosomal RNA is filed under the name Limosilactobacillus fermentum. RNAcentral's name for it is "bacterial SSU rRNA". It matches the Rfam family "Bacterial small subunit ribosomal RNA". Lineage: Bacteria; Bacillati; Bacillota; Bacilli; Lactobacillales; Lactobacillaceae. The record is from RNAcentral.
UGCCCCAUACUGCAAGUCGAACGCGUUGGCCCAAUUGAUUGAUGGUGCUUGCACCUGAUUGAUUUUGGUCGCCAACGAGUGGCGGACGGGUGAGUAACACGUAGGUAACCUGCCCAGAAGCGGGGGACAACAUUUGGAAACAGAUGCUAAUACCGCAUAACAGCGUUGUUCGCAUGAACAACGCUUAAAAGAUGGCUUCUCGCUAUCACUUCUGGAUGGACCUGCGGUGCAUUAGCUUGUUGGUGGGGUAAUGGCCUACCAAGGCGAUGAUGCAUAGCCGAGUUGAGAGACUGAUCGGCCACAAUGGGACUGAGACACGGCCCAUACUCCUACGGGAGGCAGCAGUAGGGAAUCUUCCACAAUGGGCGCAAGCCUGAUGGAGCAACACCGCGUGAGUGAAGAAGGGUUUCGGCUCGUAAAGCUCUGUUGUUAAAGAAGAACACGUAUGAGAGUAACUGUUCAUACGUUGACGGUAUUUAACCAGAAAGUCACGGCUAACUACGUGCCAGCAGCCGCGGUAAUACGUAGGUGGCAAGCGUUAUCCGGAUUUAUUGGGCGUAAAGAGAGUGCAGGCGGUUUUCUAAGUCUGAUGUGAAAGCCUUCGGCUUAACCGGAGAAGUGCAUCGGAAACUGGAUAACUUGAGUGCAGAAGAGGGUAGUGGAACUCCAUGUGUAGCGGUGGAAUGCGUAGAUAUAUGGAAGAACACCAGUGGCGAAGGCGGCUACCUGGUCUGCAACUGACGCUGAGACUCGAAAGCAUGGGUAGCGAACAGGAUUAGAUACCCUGGUAGUCCAUGCCGUAAACGAUGAGUGCUAGGUGUUGGAGGGUUUCCGCCCUUCAGUGCCGGAGCUAACGCAUUAAGCACUCCGCCUGGGGAGUACGACCGCAAGGUUGAAACUCAAAGGAAUUGACGGGGGCCCGCACAAGCGGUGGAGCAUGUGGUUUAAUUCGAAGCUACGCGAAGAACCUUACCAGGUCUUGACAUCUUGCGCCAACCCUAGAGAUAGGGCGUUUCCUUCGGGAACGCAAUGACAGGUGGUGCAUGGUCGUCGUCAGCUCGUGUCGUGAGAUGUUGGGUUAAGUCCCGCAACGAGCGCAACCCUUGUUACUAGUUGCCAGCAUUAAGUUGGGCACUCUAGUGAGACUGCCGGUGACAAACCGGAGGAAGGUGGGGACGACGUCAGAUCAUCAUGCCCCUUAUGACCUGGGCUACACACGUGCUACAAUGGACGGUACAACGAGUCGCGAACUCGCGAGGGCAAGCAAAUCUCUUAAAACCGUUCUCAGUUCGGACUGCAGGCUGCAACUCGCCUGCACGAAGUCGGAAUCGCUAGUAAUCGCGGAUCAGCAUGCCGCGGUGAAUACGUUCCCGGGCCUUGUACACACCGCCCGUCACACCAUGAGAGUUUGUAACACCCAAAGUCGGUGGGGUAACCUUUUAGGAGCCAGCCGCAUAAGGUGACCU